This is a long non-coding RNA of Dicentrarchus labrax (European seabass), 551 nucleotides long. RefSeq lists it as uncharacterized. The transcript is spliced from 2 exons. NCBI's taxonomy places the organism in Eukaryota, Metazoa, Chordata, Actinopteri, Moronidae. The record is from RefSeq and is a predicted model, not a curated record.
CCUGCAGGACAGACAGAAAGAGAGCAGUGAUGUUUAAUUUACCAAUUGUAGUAGUUUCAUUUCAUACGGAGCUCGGGGUUAAUAAGUAGCUAGUGUAUCUAUCUAGCGGCUGCUCCGUCACUAACUGCUCCAGUGAGGACUGUCAGUAAAGUCAGCCGAACCUCUUCUGAACCAGACGGUGAUACAACCUCCUCUACUGCCGUCCUCUGUGAGUGACUCUAUGAGCAGGAUACACACUUUUACUUUCUCUGACUGUGUGGAGAUCAGAUGUUUUCACAUCACUGAUGAUGAAGAAAAAGCAUUAAAACAUGAGACUCAUGUCUUUCCACCACAGGAACUGCUGAUACAGGAGUUUAAUGCGGCACUGAUCUGGAAAAAAGAGGAACAAAUAGUCUAACCUGAUUGAGAGCUGAUGGUAGCAGAAAAUAAAACACACCUGUGAGGAUGUCACUGAGUUUGUGCGCGUCGUCUUUGUGUCCGCUGAAGAAGUCGGCGAGGCCCACUAUCACCAGGCCCAGAAUGGUGAUGAGGAUGCCGAUCCACUGACUGGG